AACCCCAUGCGCGCCAGGAUGGCUGGCAGCCUCGCCGCAUCGCGCAGCCCUUAAGAGCGCCCGGUGUCCCACGGGCCGCUCCCCUCGGUGUCCACGCUCACUCCACGUCCUCUCCAGCCCGCAUACUGCAUCCUCUCUUGCCCGCAUACUCCAUCCCUUCUUGCCCGCAUUACUUUAACCAUCUCACCACACCCACUGCCCCAGUCGGGCAGCCUUCCCACCAUUCCUUUCUCUUCAGUAUUGAGUCUUAAAUUGGAGGAGAAAGUGGGUUUUAGUCAGGAUAGUUUGACAGUUCUCACUCUAGAAAUUUCUGGAAGUUGUCCAGAGUGCCUUCGGUCUACAGUCUUCUUUUCCGUACACCCAUAAUAUUCAAACAAGAGAACAUCCAGAAUGGUUGGUCACUCAUGCCUUUAAUCCCCGCACUUCAAAGCUGAGACAAGAGGACUACCUUGAGUUUAAGAGUUCAAAGCUGGGGCUGGAGAGAUGGCUCAGCAGUCAAGAGCACUGACUGCUCUUCCUGAGGUCCUGAGUUCAAAUCCCAGCAACCACAUGGUGUCUCACAACCAUCUGUAAUGGGAUCCGAUGCCCUCUUCUGGAGUGUCUGAAGACAGCGACAAUAUACUCAUACGAAUAAAAUAAAUCUUUUUAAAAAAAAGUUCAAAGCUGGCCUGGUUUACAGAGUGAAAUCUUAUCUUUAGAAGGAAAAAAUGACAGUUGAGAACCUCUUUAAGCAAAAACAGCAAGAGACACACUAACAGCCCUGUUACUAAGUACUCAAACGAGGCGAGAACAGAAGUCCCUGAAGAAGCUAUACAAAAGGCUUCCAAACUCAAAAGCGUGCUAAUGUCUCCAGUUAUGGAAGUAUAAGUCAAAGCCAAAGCAAAUUCAUACCUCAGAUUUUAGAUGGCCGUAUUAACUGAAACUGAAAACAAGCGUUAGUGGUG
This 944-nucleotide long non-coding RNA is filed under the name Rattus norvegicus (Norway rat). Its description in RNAcentral is "long non-coding RNA NONRATT033144". Lineage: Eukaryota; Metazoa; Chordata; Mammalia; Rodentia; Muridae. The record is from RNAcentral.